UCCCUGGUAGCUCAGAGGUUAAAGCGUCUGCCUGCAAUGCGGGAGACCCGGGUUUGAUCCCUGGGUUGGGAA
This 72-nucleotide transfer RNA is filed under the name Capra hircus (goat). It matches the Rfam family "tRNA". Rfam says of the family: Transfer RNA (tRNA) molecules are approximately 80 nucleotides in length. Lineage: Eukaryota; Metazoa; Chordata; Mammalia; Artiodactyla; Bovidae. The record is from Rfam by way of RNAcentral. RNAcentral also lists the same sequence under 1 other name.